This 914-nucleotide ribosomal RNA is filed under the name Agrococcus baldri. RNAcentral's name for it is "bacterial SSU rRNA". It matches the Rfam family "Bacterial small subunit ribosomal RNA", at positions 56 to 980 of the family's 1533-position model. Lineage: Bacteria; Bacillati; Actinomycetota; Actinomycetes; Micrococcales; Microbacteriaceae. The record is from RNAcentral.
UGCAAGUCGAACGAUGAAAGAGGAGCUUGCUCCUCUGGAUUAGUGGCGAACGGGUGAGUAACACGUGAGCAAUGUGCCCUUGACUCUGGAAUAAGCGCUGGAAACGGCGUCUAAUACUAGAUACGACCCUCGGAGGCAUCUCCUGGGGGUGGAAAGAAUUUCGGUCAAGGAUCAGCUCACGGCCUAUCAGUUAGUUGGUGAGGUAACGGCUCACCAAGACUACGACGGGUAGCCGGCCUGAGAGGGUGACCGGCCACACUGGGACUGAGACACGGCCCAGACUCCUACGGGAGGCAGCAGUGGGGAAUAUUGCACAAUGGGCGCAAGCCUGAUGCAGCAACGCCGCGUGAGGGACGACGGCCUUCGGGUUGUAAACCUCUUUUAGCAGGGAAGAAGCGAAAGUGACGGUACCUGCAGAAAAAGCACCGGCUAACUACGUGCCAGCAGCCGCGGUAAUACGUAGGGUGCAAGCGUUGUCCGGAAUUAUUGGGCGUAAAGAGCUCGUAGGCGGUUUGUCACGUCUGCUGUGAAAUCCCGAGGCUCAACCUCGGGCUUGCAGUGGGUACGGGCAGACUAGAGUGCGGUAGGGGAGAUUGGAAUUCCUGGUGUAGCGGUGGAAUGCGCAGAUAUCAGGAGGAACACCGAUGGCGAAGGCAGAUCUCUGGGCCGUUACUGACGCUGAGGAGCGAAAGCAUGGGGAGCAAACAGGCUUAGAUACCCUGGUAGUCCAUGCCGUAAACGUUGGGAACUAGAUGUGGGGACCAUUCCACGGUCUCCGUGUCGUAGCUAACGCAUUAAGUUCCCCGCCUGGGGAGUACGGCCGCAAGGCUAAAACUCAAAGGAAUUGACGGGGCCCGCACAAGCGGCGGAGCAUGCGGAUUAAUUCGAUGCAACGCGAAGAACCUUACCAAGGC